This 2837-nucleotide long non-coding RNA is filed under the name Gossypium raimondii (Peruvian cotton). RNAcentral's name for it is "long non-coding RNA (GRAI_LNC007116)". Lineage: Eukaryota; Viridiplantae; Streptophyta; Magnoliopsida; Malvales; Malvaceae. The record is from RNAcentral.
CCGAGAGAAAAAAAGAAGCAAACGUCAUGGGUUUGAGUUUUAUAUUUAAGAAGCUUGCUCUGGUUGCAGUUACGUUGACACUUACAGCAACUUCAGUGGCAGCUCAAACACAACCAGGUUGUGAAAGCCGCUGCGGGAAUAUCAGCAUUCCUUAUCCCUUCGGUACAGGCGAUGGUUGCAAAAUUAGCAGCGACUUUUUCAUUACUUGUAACACCACUUUCAAUCCUCCAAAAGCAUUCUUAGACACCAGUAAUAUUGAGAUUCUCGACAUCUCUCUGGAUGGUUAUUUGCGCAUAAGUCAAUCCAUAGGUUAUGACUGUUACAACAAAGUCGAGCCUUCAUAUUUUGCUACGUGGAUGUGGUUUUCAAAAUUCUCCUUAUCUCAUACCAGAAAUAAGUUCACAGCCAUUGGUUGUGAUACUUAUGCUUACGUAAAGGAUUAUUUGGGACAUACGUAUUCAACCGGAUGUUUAACGUUUUGUGAUAAUAUUACCAAUGUGGUGGAGGGAUCUUGCUCUGGCAUCGGCUGCUGCCAGACUGCUAUCCCUAAAGGAGUGAGGAGUUAUCAUGUAACGUUUGGUAGUUCUAACAACCAUUCCAAGGAUUGAGCAAUACAUUUUUACAAGGAUGUCCUAGUCUAGAGUGCCACACACUCAGAGGAACAGACGUUUUAGUUGUAAAAUAGUGUGCUGUGCGCAUAGGUUGAGAAUUUCUGAAAGCAUCGGUCAAAUGGAGCUUGUACAGGCCAUGGUGUACUGAUCCUCUAAGAAAUACCUCCUUGGUCCUUAAGUCACGUACCUCGCACUGUGUCGGGAGAAAUUCAAACAUCACCUGGUUGUCUCUUGUGAACUUAGACACAGAUAACAAAUUUUUAGUAAUGCCAAGAGUAUAUAAAAGUGAUUUCAUGUAAAGUGGUCGUGUCCUAGUGAGCAAAUAGGACUGACCAAAACAUAGAACAGGAGAGAGCUACAAUUUCCAACAUACACCUUACUUGGCCCAUUGCGAGAUGGAUUAUCACCAAGAGAGGUAGCAGAGUGAGUGAGAUGAUGCGUUGCCCCAGAGUCAGGAUACCAUGCAGGGCUGCCCACAAUGUCAGGUGUAGCAAUUAACACAUGUGGUGGAGAAACAGUAGUAGAGGAAGGUGAAACCUGUUGUGUGUAGUCACUCAUAUAUGGAUGGGCCCAGUUAGACGUAGGCGCUGACUGAUAGGACCAGUUGGAAGGAGGUUGAACUACCAGGUGGUAUAACUGACACAGCAGAUGGUGUUUAGGGAGAAGGACUAGGUGCAUACAUGCACAUAUUUGCUUGCGAAGAAGGCCUGUAGUUGGUACUUUUGUAAGAUGCAUCAAACUGAUGAUAGCAUCGAUCAACCAGAUGUCCAGUUUUUCCAUAUAACUGGCAUUGAAUACAGGCUCCAGACGAGCGACCACGCACGACCCCGAGAAUUUGAUGCACAAUAAGGUGGUACAAAAGUAUUAGUAACUGACUGCGCAGGUUGUUGAGAAACUAAAUUGGCAGAACUAGGAGUCUCAGCCAGUAUAACCUGUUGUCUAGCUUCAGCAUCAAUUAGCAUAGUUGUGACAUUCUGAACAGUGUAUGAAAGAUGACUAGCAAGAAUGAUUGAAACAAUGGACUCAUAUUCGAACGGUAGCCCAUUAAGGAUAGCAGUUAUAUGCUCAUGUGCACUGAUAUCCUCUCCACAGCUAGCAAGAUUAUCACAGUAGGAUUUGAUUUUCAGCAAAAACUCUUUCAUAGACAUAUCACAUUUUCGUUGAGAGUGUAACGCACGACAAUAUAACAUCAGUCGAGAAGUAGUUUUGCUACCAUACAAUGUUACAAUAGAAUUCCAAAUCUGAGCACUGGUGUCAAGCCCAAUGAGAUGAGGAAGAACAUCUUGACUUACAGAGGACAAAAGCCAGGAAGCAAGAGCGCUAUGUUGCUGUUCGAACCUAGUGAACUCAACAUUUUCUUCAAGCACCCCAUCAUCACCUGGAACCAUCGAAGGGGGUGGUACGGUAUGCAAGUCAAGAAAACUUUGCAGUUUGUAAGCUUUAACAGGUAUGCAAGUCAAGAAAACUUUGCAGUUUGUAAGCUUUAACAGCCAACAGAACCUGUUGCCACCAUAAAAGAUAGUUGGAAUCAUCGAGAAAUAUACUCACUUUCUUGGUAGAGAAGAAUCUGCUAUCAAGAACACCACUAGCAAGAUUAGACGCCAUCGUGGGUGCAGCAGACUGAAUAGCAGAAGGACUCGCUGGUGGAUCCAUGCAACAAGCAAAAAAAACCGAAACUUAAAGCAUCAAUCCCAGGAAGAGAGAGACGUCUGAUACCAUGUUGAAAUAUAACCAAAAAUAUUAUAAAACUGAAGAAGUAUAUUAAACUUUAUUAAGUCAUAUUAAUGACCUGAUACAUGCAUUUAUAGCAAUAGUUGAGAACUGUUUCUUUAACAAACUAACUGCUAUCUUAACAGUCAACUAACUAACUUCCAGAUACUCUAACAAUUUGCGCAUAAGUGAAUCCAUAGGUUAUGACUGUUACAACGAAGUCGAGCGUACUUCAUAUUUUGAUAUGUGGAUGGAGCUUUCAAAAUUCCCCAUAUCUCAUACCAGAAAUAAGUUCACAGCCAUUGGUUGUGAUACUUAUGCUCACGUAAAGGAUUAUUUGAGAGAUACGUAUUCAACAAGAUGUUUAACGUUUUGUGAUAAUAUUACCAAUAUGGUGAAGGGAUCUUGCUCUGGCAUCGGCUGCUGCAAGACGGCUAUCCCUAAAGGAGUGAGGAGUUAUCAUGUAACGUUUGAUAGUUCUAACAACCAUUCCAAUAUGUUGAGCUUCAAUCCUUG